Molecule: unclassified non-coding RNA, 309 nt
Filed under: plant metagenome
Description: partial contains 5.8S ribosomal RNA, internal transcribed spacer 2, and large subunit ribosomal RNA
Rfam family: 5.8S ribosomal RNA (bases 1-105)
Source: RNAcentral
GAAAUGCGAUAAGUAGUGUGAAUUGCAGAAUUCAGUGAAUCAUCGAAUCUUUGAACGCACAUUGCGCCCCUUGGUAUUCCAUGGGGCAUGCCUGUUCGAGCGUCAUUUGUACCCUCAAGCUCUGCUUGGUGUUGGGUGUUUGUCCCGUCUCCGCGCGUGGACUCGCCCCAAAGUGAUUGGCAGCCGGCGUACUGGUCCCGGAGCGCAGCACAUGUCGCGCAAACGAGUGCCUUGGUACGGCGGCGUCCAUAAGCCCCUCUCUCACGCUCUUGACCUCGGAUCAAGUAGGGAUACCCGCUGAACUUAAGC